GAUGAACGCUGGCGGCGUGCCUAAUACAUGCAAGUCGAGCGAACGGACGAGAAGCUUGCUUCUCUGAUGUUAGCGGCGGACGGGUGAGUAACACGUGGAUAACCUACCGAUAAGACUGGGAUAACUUCGGGAAACCGGAGCUAAUACCGGAUAAUAUUUUGAACCGCAUGGUUCAAAAGUGAAAGACGGUCUUGCUGUCACUUAUAGAUGGAUCCGCGCUGCAUUAGCUAGUUGGUAAGGUAACGGCUUACCAAGGCAACGAUGCAUAGCCGACCUGAGAGGGUGAUCGGCCACACUGGAACUGAGACACGGUCCAGACUCCUACGGGAGGCAGCAGUAGGGAACCUUCCGCAAUGGGCGAAAGCCUGACGGAGCAACGCCGCGUGAGUGAUGAAGGUCUUCGGAUCGUAAAACUCUGUUAUUAGGGAAGAACAUAUGUGUAAGUAACUGUGCACAUCUUGACGGUACCUAAUCAGAAAGCCACGGCUAACUACGUG
Molecule: ribosomal RNA, 497 nt
Filed under: uncultured bacterium
Lineage: Bacteria
Description: partial 16S ribosomal RNA
Rfam family: Bacterial small subunit ribosomal RNA
Source: RNAcentral